Molecule: ribosomal RNA, 445 nt
Filed under: uncultured bacterium
Lineage: Bacteria
Description: partial 16S ribosomal RNA
Rfam family: Bacterial small subunit ribosomal RNA
Source: RNAcentral
CGAACGCUGGCGGCAGGCCUAAUACAUGCAAGUCGAACGGCUCUUCGGAGCAGUGGCGGACGGGUGAGUAACGCGUGGGAAUGUGCCCUUAGGUACGGAACAACACAGGGAAACUUGUGCUAAUACCGUAUGUGCCCUUCGGGGGAAAGAUUUAUCGCCUUUGGAGCAGCCCGCGUUGGAUUAGGUAGUUGGUGAGGUAAAGGCUCACCAAGCCGAGGAUCCAUAGCUGGUCUGAGAGGAUGACCAGCCACACUGGGACUGUGACACGGCCCAGAAUCCUACGGGAGGCAGCAGUAGGGAAUCUUGCGCAAUGGGCGAAAGCCUGACGCAGCCAUGCCGCGUGUAUGAUGAAGGUCUUAGGAUUGUAAAAUACUUUCACCGGGGAAGAUAAUGACGGUACCCGGAGAAGAAGCACCGGCUAACUUCGUGCCAGCAGCCGCCGUAA